Molecule: ribosomal RNA, 433 nt
Filed under: uncultured bacterium
Lineage: Bacteria
Description: partial 16S ribosomal RNA
Rfam family: Bacterial small subunit ribosomal RNA
Source: RNAcentral
AGCGAACGCUGGCGGCAGGCCUAACACAUGCAAGUCGAACGAACUCUUCGGAGUUAGUGGCGGACGGGUGAGUAACACGUGGGAACGUGCCUUUUGGUUCGGAAUAACUCAGGGAAACUUGUGCUAAUACCGAAUGUGCCCUUCGGGGGAAAGAUUUAUCGCCAUUAGAGCGCCCCGCGUCUGAUUAGCUAGUUGGUGAGGUAACGGCUCACCAAGGCGACGAUCAGUAGCUGGUCUGAGAGGAUGACCAGCCACACUGGGACUGAGACACGGCCCAGACUCCUACGGGAGGCAGCAGUGGGGAAUCUUGCGCAAUGGGCGAAAGCCUGACGCAGCCAUGCCGCGUGAAUGAUGAAGGUCUUAGGAUUGUAAAAUUCUUUCACCGGGGACGAUAAUGACGGUACCCGGAGAAGAAGCCCCGGCUAACUUCGUG